This 468-nucleotide ribosomal RNA is filed under the name uncultured bacterium. RNAcentral's name for it is "partial 16S ribosomal RNA". It matches the Rfam family "Bacterial small subunit ribosomal RNA", at positions 28 to 507 of the family's 1533-position model. The record is from RNAcentral.
GACGAACGCUGGCGGCGUGCUUAACACAUGCAAGUCGAACGGAAAGGCCCUGCUUUUGUGGGGUGCUCGAGUGGCGAACGGGUGAGUAACACGUGAGUAACCUGCCCUUGACUUUGGGAUAACUUCAGGAAACUGGGGCUAAUACCGGAUAGGAGCUCCUGCUGCAUGGUGGGGGUUGGAAAGUUUCGGCGGUUGGGGAUGGACUCGCGGCUUAUCAGCUUGUUGGUGGGGUAGUGGCUUACCAAGGCUUUGACGGGUAGCCGGCCUGAGAGGGUGACCGGCCACAUUGGGACUGAGAUACGGCCCAGACUCCUGCGGGAGGCAGCAGUGGGGAAUAUUGCACAAUGGGCGGAAGCCUGAUGCAGCAACGCCGCGUGCGGGAUGAUGGCCUUCGGGUUGUAAACCGCUUUCGCCUGUGACGAAGCGUGAGUGACGGUAAUGGGUAAAGAAGCACCGGCUAGCUACGUG